This 502-nucleotide ribosomal RNA is filed under the name uncultured bacterium. RNAcentral describes it as "bacterial SSU rRNA". It matches the Rfam family "Bacterial small subunit ribosomal RNA", at positions 21 to 518 of the family's 1533-position model. The record is from RNAcentral.
GGCUCAGGAUGAACGCUAGCGGCAGGCUUAACACAUGCAAGUCGAGGGGCAUCGGGAGUAGCAAUACUGCCGGCGACCGGCGCAAGGGUGCGUAACGCGUGAGCAACAUGCCCGUAUCAGGGGGAUAAUCCAUGGAAACGUGGUCUAAUACCCCAUAGUAAUUAUGUAAGGCAUCUUAUAUAAUUUAAAGCUUUGGUGGAUACGGAUUGGCUCGCGUGACAUUAGCUGGAUGGUAAGGUAACGGCUUACCAUGGCUACGAUGUCUAGGGGUUCUGAGAGGAAGGUCCCCCACACUGGAACUGAGACACGGUCCAGACUCCUACGGGAGGCAGCAGUGAGGAAUAUUGGACAAUGGAUGGAAAUCUGAUCCAGCCAUGCCGCGUGCAAGGAAGACGGCCCUAUGGGUUGUAAACUGCUUUUGUAUGGGAGCAAUAAGGGCUACGUGUAGUCCGAUGAGAGUACCAUACGAAUAAGCACCGGCUAACUCCGUGCCAGCAGCGGC